CUGCCCACUGUGUAUUUAAAGGGCUGCAGUAUUUUAACUGUACAAAGGUAGCAUAAUCAUUAGUUUUUUAAUUGGGGACUGGUAUGAAAGGUUUGACGGAGAUUAACUGUCUUUAUUGUGAUUUAUAAAAUUAAUUUUUUUGUGAAAAAGCAGAAGUGAAUUAAAGGGACGAGAAGACCCUAUUAAACUUAAAUAUAAUGAUUUAAUUAUUAAUGUAUUAAUUAACAUUAAUUUAUAUAUUUUGUUUGGGGCGAAUGGUAUAUUGAACAAUAUUAAUAUAUAAUAAUUUAAGUAGAGAUUUUUUGAUCCUAAUGGAUUGAUUUGGAGAAUAAGUUACUAUAGGGAUAACAGCGUUAUAUUCCUAGAGAGUUCUUAUUGAUAGGGAUGUUUGCGACCUCGAUGUUGGAUUAAGAUUUCUUUUUGAUGCAGAUGUUAUUAGAAGAUGGUCUGUUCGACCAGUAAUUUCUUACAUGAUCUGAGUUCAAAAACCGGAGA
RNAcentral lists this ribosomal RNA (495 nucleotides) under Glyphiulus guangnanensis. RNAcentral's name for it is "partial large subunit ribosomal RNA". It matches the Rfam family "Bacterial large subunit ribosomal RNA", at positions 1859 to 2624 of the family's 2925-position model. Lineage: Eukaryota; Metazoa; Arthropoda; Diplopoda; Spirostreptida; Cambalopsidae. The record is from RNAcentral.